Molecule: ribosomal RNA, 775 nt
Filed under: uncultured bacterium
Lineage: Bacteria
Description: bacterial SSU rRNA
Rfam family: Bacterial small subunit ribosomal RNA
Source: RNAcentral
UAGAGUUUGAUCCUGGCUCAGAGCGAACGCUGGCAGCAGGCUUAACACAUGCAAGUCGAACGGUCCUUCGGGAUAGUGGCGGACGGGUGAGUAACACGUGGGAACGUACCCUUAGGUUCGGAACAACACAGGGAAACUUGUGCUAAUACCGGAUGAGCCCUUCGGGGGAAAGAUUUAUCGCCUUUGGAGCGGCCCGCGUCUGAUUAGCUAGUUGGUGAGGUAAUGGCUCACCAAGGCGACGAUCAGUAGCUGGUCUGAGAGGAUGGCCAGCCACACUGGGACUGAGACACGGCCCAGACUCCUACGGGAGGCAGCAGUGGGGAAUCUUGCGCAAUGGGCGAAAGCCUGACGCAGCCAUGCCGCGUGGAUGAUGAAGGUCUUAGGAUUGUAAAAUCCUUUCACCGGGGACGAUAAUGACGGUACCCGGAGAAGAAGCCCCGGCUAACUACGUGCCAGCAGCCGCGGUAAUACGUAGGGUGCGAGCGUUAAUCGGAAUUACUGGGCGUAAAGCGUGCGCAGGCGGUUAUGUAAGACAGAUGUGAAAUCCCCGGGCUCAACCUGGGAACUGCAUUAGUGACUGCAUAGCUGGAGUACGGCAGAGGGGGAUGGAAUUCCGCGUGUAGCAGUGAAAUGCGUAGAUAUGCGGAGGAACACCGAUGGCGAAGGCAAUCCCCUGGGCCUGUACUGACGCUCAUGCANGAAAGCGUGGGGAGCAAACANGAUUAGAUACCCUGGUAGUCCACGCCCUAAACGAUGUCAACUGGUUGUUGGGUCU